GACGAACGCUGGCGGCGUGCCUAAUACAUGCAAGUCGAACGACGAGACUUUAACUGAUGCUUGCAUCGACCAAAGGAUCGGAGUGGCGAACGGGUGAGUAACACGUGGGUAACCUGCCUAUCAGAGGGGGAUAACACUUGGAAACAGGUGCUAAUACCGCAUAAUUCCUUUUACCGCAUGGUAAAAGGCUGAAAGGCGCUUCUGGUGUCACUGAUGGAUGGACCCGCGGUGCAUUAGCUAGUCGGUGGGGUAACGGCCUACCGAGGCGAUGAUGCAUAGCCGACCUGAGAGGGUGAUCGGCCACAUUGGGACUGAGACAUGGCCCAAACUCCUACGGGAGGCAGCAGUAGGGAAUCUUCGGCAAUGGACGAAAGUCUGACCGAGCAACGCCGCGUGAGUGAAGAAGGUUUUCGGAUCGUAAAACUCUGUUGUUAGAGAAGAACAGGAGGAGUAGUAACUGGCUUCUUUUUGACGGUAUCUAACCAGAAAGCCACGGCUAACUACGUGCCAGCCGCCGCAGUAACAC
RNAcentral lists this ribosomal RNA (526 nucleotides) under uncultured bacterium. RNAcentral's name for it is "bacterial SSU rRNA". It matches the Rfam family "Bacterial small subunit ribosomal RNA", at positions 28 to 526 of the family's 1533-position model. The record is from RNAcentral.